AACGAACGCUGGCGGCAUGCCUAACACAUGCAAGUCGAACGAGACCUUCGGGUCUAGUGGCGCACGGGUGCGUAACACGUGGGAAUCUGCCCUUCGGUUCGGAAUAACAGAGAGAAAUUUCUGCUAAUACCGGAUAACGACGAAAGUCCAAAGAUUUAUCGCCCAAGGAUGAGCCCGCGUAAGAUUAGCUAGUUGGUAGGGUAAAGGCCUACCAAGGCUACGAUCUUUAGCUGGUCUGAGAGGAUGAUCAGCCACACUGGGACUGAGACACGGCCCAGACUCCUACGGGAGGCAGCAGUAGGGAAUAUUGGACAAUGGGGGAAACCCUGAUCCAGCAAUGCCGCGUGAGUGAUGAAGGCCUUAGGGUUGUAAAGCUCUUUUACCCGAGAUGAUAAUGACAGUAUCGGGAGAAUAAGCUCCGGCUAACUCCGUG
Molecule: ribosomal RNA, 433 nt
Filed under: uncultured bacterium
Lineage: Bacteria
Description: bacterial SSU rRNA
Rfam family: Bacterial small subunit ribosomal RNA
Source: RNAcentral